RNAcentral lists this ribosomal RNA (1099 nucleotides) under Edwardsiella piscicida. RNAcentral describes it as "bacterial SSU rRNA". It matches the Rfam family "Bacterial small subunit ribosomal RNA", at positions 18 to 1104 of the family's 1533-position model. The record is from RNAcentral. Lineage: Bacteria; Pseudomonadati; Pseudomonadota; Gammaproteobacteria; Enterobacterales; Hafniaceae.
UUUGGCUCAGAUUGAACGCUGGCGGCAGGCUUAACACAUGCAAGUCGAGCGGUAGCAGGGAGAAAGCUUGCUUUCUCCGCUGACGAGCGGCGGACGGGUGAGUAAUGUCUGGGGAUCUGCCUGAUGGAGGGGGAUAACUACUGGAAACGGUAGCUAAUACCGCAUAACGUCGCAAGACCAAAGUGGGGGACCUUCGGGCCUCAUGCCAUCAGAUGAACCCAGAUGGGAUUAGCUAGUAGGUGGGGUAAUGGCUCACCUAGGCGACGAUCCCUAGCUGGUCUGAGAGGAUGACCAGCCACACUGGAACUGAGACACGGUCCAGACUCCUACGGGAGGCAGCAGUGGGGAAUAUUGCACAAUGGGCGCAAGCCUGAUGCAGCCAUGCCGCGUGUAUGAAGAAGGCCUUCGGGUUGUAAAGUACUUUCAGUAGGGAGGAAGGUGUGAGCGUUAAUAGCGUUCACAAUUGACGUUACCUACAGAAGAAGCACCGGCUAACUCCGUGCCAGCAGCCGCGGUAAUACGGAGGGUGCAAGCGUUAAUCGGAAUUACUGGGCGUAAAGCGCACGCAGGCGGUUUGUUAAGUUGGAUGUGAAAUCCCCGGGCUUAACCUGGGAACUGCAUCCAAGACUGGCAAGCUAGAGUCUCGUAGAGGGAGGUAGAAUUCCAGGUGUAGCGGUGAAAUGCGUAGAGAUCUGGAGGAAUACCGGUGGCGAAGGCGGCCUCCUGGACGAAGACUGACGCUCAGGUGCGAAAGCGUGGGGAGCAAACAGGAUUAGAUACCCUGGUAGUCCACGCUGUAAACGAUGUCGAUUUGGAGGUUGUGCCCUUGAGGCGUGGCUUCCGAAGCUAACGCGUUAAAUCGACCGCCUGGGGAGUACGGCCGCAAGGUUAAAACUCAAAUGAAUUGACGGGGGCCCGCACAAGCGGUGGAGCAUGUGGUUUAAUUCGAUGCAACGCGAAGAACCUUACCUACUCUUGACAUCCAGCGAAUCCUGUAGAGAUACGGGAGUGCCUUCGGGAACGCUGAGACAGGUGCUGCAUGGCUGUCGUCAGCUCGUGUUGUGAAAUGUUGGGUUAAGUCCCGCAACGAGCGCAACCC